This 495-nucleotide ribosomal RNA is filed under the name uncultured bacterium. RNAcentral describes it as "partial 16S ribosomal RNA". It matches the Rfam family "Bacterial small subunit ribosomal RNA", at positions 28 to 507 of the family's 1533-position model. The record is from RNAcentral.
GACGAACGCUGGCGGCGUGCCUAAUACAUGCAAGUAGAACGCUGAAGGAGGAGCUUGCUCUUCUGGAUGAGUUGCGAACGGGUGAGUAACGCGUAGGUAACCUGCCUGGUAGCGGGGGAUAACUAUUGGAAACGAUAGCUAAUGCCGCAUAACAGUAGAUGUUGCAUGACAUUUACUUAAAAGGUGCAAUUGCAUCACUACCAGAUGGACCUGCGUUGUAUUAGCUAGUUGGUGGGGUAACGGCUCACCAAGGCGACGAUACAUAGCCGACCUGAGAGGGUGAUCGGCCACACUGGGACUGAGACACGGCCCAGACUCCUACGGGAGGCAGCAGUAGGGAAUCUUCGGCAAUGGACGGAAGUCUGACCGAGCAACGCCGCGUGAGUGAAGAAGGUUUUCGGAUCGUAAAGCUCUGUUGUAAGAGAAGAACGAGUGUGAGAGUGGAAAGUUCACACUGUGACGGUAUCUUACCAGAAAGGGACGGCUAACUACGUG